AGGGAAUCUUCCGCAAUGGGCGAAAGCCUGACGGAGCAACGCCGCGUGAGCGAGGAAGGUCUUCGGAUCGUAAAGCUCUGUUGCCAGGGAAGAAAAGGCGCUUGUUGACUGCAGGCGCAUUGACGGUACCUGAGACAGAAAGCCCCGGCUAACUACGUGCCAGCAGCCGCGGUAAUACGUAGGGGGCAAGCGUUGUCCGGAAUUAUUGGGCGUAAAGCGCGCGUAGGCGGCCCUUUAAGUCUCGUGUUUAAACCCGGAGCUCAACUUCGGGUCGCACGGGAAACUGGGGGGCUUGAGUGCAGGAGAGGGAAGCGGAAUUCCACGUGUAGCGGUGAAAUGCGUAGAGAUGUGGAGGAACACCAGUGGCGAAGGCGGCUUCCUGGUCUGUAACUGACGCUGAGGCGCGAAAGCGUGGGGAGCAAAC
Molecule: ribosomal RNA, 424 nt
Filed under: uncultured bacterium
Lineage: Bacteria
Description: bacterial SSU rRNA
Rfam family: Bacterial small subunit ribosomal RNA
Source: RNAcentral